CGCAUCUGUGCAUGCAGCAUAUCAAUAAGCGGAGGAAAAGAAACUAACAAGGAUUCCCUUAGUAACGGCGAGUGAAGCGGGAAGAGCUCAAAUUUGAAAUCUUCAAGGUUUUACCUUGACGAAUUGUAGUUUAAAGAAGUGUUUUCUGUUGAAGUUUUGGUAAAAGUUCUUUGGAAUAGGACAUCAUAGAGGGUGAGAAUCCCGUAUUUGACCAUUAUUUUCAGCUGUGUGAUACACUUUCAAAGAGUCGGAUUGUUUGGGAAUGCAGUCCAAAAUGGGUGGUAAAUUUCAUCUAAAGCUAAAUAUUGGCGAGAGACCGAUAGCGAACAAGUACCGUGAGGGAAAGAUGAAAAGAACUUUGAAAAGAGAGUUAAACAGUACGUGAAAUUGUCAAAAGGGAAGCGUUUGACACCAGUGUUGUUUUCUCGAAAAUCAAUUAAAAGAGUUAGAUUUUGUUGUGUAUUGACCUUAACAGCUUGCAUUUCAAUUUUCUUGCUUUUUUUAAUGCACUUUUCGUUUAACAAGUCAACAUCAGUUUCUUUUGUUGUAAAAAGGUCAUUGGAAGGUGGCUUUCUUUUCGGAGAAAGUGUUUAUAGCCUUUGACUCCUGCAAUCGGAGAGACUGAGGUCUGCAGCGUAGAUCCUUCGGGGUUAGAUACAUUUGUGCUAAGUUAUAGCUUUUUAUAGACAACUUGUUGACUAUGAUUAGUCUUGUAGCUUACUCGCUUAUGCUAUUUUACCUACGCUUAGGAUGUUGAUGUGAUACUGCGAGCA
RNAcentral lists this ribosomal RNA (773 nucleotides) under uncultured Neocallimastigales. RNAcentral describes it as "partial large subunit ribosomal RNA". It matches the Rfam family "Eukaryotic large subunit ribosomal RNA", at positions 26 to 629 of the family's 3401-position model. Lineage: Eukaryota; Fungi; Neocallimastigomycota; Neocallimastigomycetes; Neocallimastigales. The record is from RNAcentral.